CUUCCGUCGCGCGUGCCGCCGUGCGCGCUUAUUGGCUAAGGCCAGUGAGGCGGGGCGGGAGGAAGGGACAACAGCUCGAAGGGAGCGAGGCGCUGAGCACGCUUCGGGAAAAGGAUGGGAGCUUCCUGAAGCCAGUUUCUCGAAUUCCCCAUCAAUAGUCACCUGAGGUGACUUCUACAAAAGAGGAUGCUUCAGUCUUCAAAAGGAGUAAAUCCCGAUCCAACAGAAUGAUUUCUGUUGUCACUCAGAGUUGCUGAUCCUUGAUCCACACAGAGGACUUUCACAAUAGCUUUAUAUGGCAUUGUUGUGAGAGAGAUGAGAGGAUGGCUGCCCUGAUGCCCACCUGCCUGCAUUGCCUAGCACAGCAACUUCUGGCCAGAAUCUGGCACAGUGAGGCUACAACUUGAAGGACCCCAGUUAUUUCAC
Molecule: long non-coding RNA, 426 nt
Organism: Cervus elaphus (red deer)
Lineage: Eukaryota; Metazoa; Chordata; Mammalia; Artiodactyla; Cervidae
Exons: 3
Source: RefSeq, a predicted model, not a curated record